Molecule: long non-coding RNA, 265 nt
Filed under: Lathyrus oleraceus (garden pea)
Lineage: Eukaryota; Viridiplantae; Streptophyta; Magnoliopsida; Fabales; Fabaceae
Description: Pisum sativum (pea) long non-coding RNA (PSAT_LNC029970)
Source: RNAcentral
AAAUUACCAUUUUUGAAAAGUCAUAAGUAUUUUUAAACAAUUAAAAAUAUGAACAAAAACAUUUAAUUGAUGAAAAAUAUCAAAAUUAAUCCAAAAAAGUAAUUUUGGUUCAGAAUAUGAAAAAGAAAAAUAUUUAAAGAUUUUUGGUGAAAGACCCAAAUUUUUUGGAUUAAAAAUGAAAUUAAUAUGAAUUAAACAAAAUAAAAAGGAUUAAAUGAAAAUUCAGAAAAUAAAAAGAAAUUAGAAAAAAACAAGGACCAUCAGA